AAAGACUUACUGUCAUAGGAUCAUUUCUAUAGUAACGCGCUUACCGAGAANUUCACGACAUACUGUGAAUGAUCGACAACCACGAUGAUGAGGCGUGGCGCGGCAUCCUGAGCGUGAGGCAGGGCAAUGGUUAGCCUAACCCAUNAGCCAUCAAUGCAUCGGUUGCGCGUUCCUUUUCAACAGGGGCACCAGUGGGACUGCUGGUCGAAACUCAUGAGGUUGGUU
This 225-nucleotide small nucleolar RNA is filed under the name Bombyx mori (domestic silkworm). RNAcentral's name for it is "U3 snoRNA". It matches the Rfam family "Small nucleolar RNA U3". From Rfam's summary of the family: Small nucleolar RNAs (snoRNAs) are involved in the processing and modification of rRNA in the nucleolus. Lineage: Eukaryota; Metazoa; Arthropoda; Insecta; Lepidoptera; Bombycidae. The record is from RNAcentral.